UCAGUAUAUUUUUCUGUGUAAGAAGAUAUGACAUGUUUAACAAUGUCUUACAUUUUCUGUGUAAGAAGGAUUAACAAAUUUUUUUUGGAACUUCAGAAGUGUUAGCCAAUUUAUUAACUUUUUCUUCUUUGAGAAGUCAAGGAAGUCCCAUUCUAAUCCCUAAGGGUUAUAUUUUGAAUGGAUAUUUAUUUUAUUGUGAUGGGCCUUUUUCUUUUUUCAAAUCAAGUCAUACUUUUCAGCUUAGCUGGUUUCUAGCAUGAUAAUAGCUAGAGGGACUCAUUUUAAAGACCUUGGUGAAAAGAACCUUGAAAUGGAUUAACCACUAUUCACAACUCUUCAACUGCUUUUUAAAAAACUUUAUUUUUUAACAAUGAAAGGCUUCUCUUGUAAUUGGACAGGCACAAGACCUCACUAAGGGUGAAACCAAUUGGUGGUUUCAGAGGCCUGGCCAGAGUAUUAUCACCUGACUUGACUGGCGAGGUGAAAUCCAACCAAGAACUGGACCUCUUAAGCCAAAAGCUGACUCUUUGCUAUAUCUGUAUUCCAUUUUGAUAACUGUGAUAAAAUUACCAAUAGGUGGAGCUGCUGAAACUUGAAAACAGAUUCUAACUACUAGCUUUUGAAUUUAGAAAAGGACUGGGUACUCUUUUUUUUUUUUAAUGUAAAUUGUUGGGGUCAGGAGAGGCUUCACAUCCUCCUUCUGGGGAGAGAGAGGGGAAUCAACAAAAGGUGUCAACAGCAGCAGAAAGAGAUUCUUUGGAGGUCAGGAACUCAUAGGAACGGUGAGUGGAGACAACACAGAAGAACCAAGAGUGCUGAUCUUUAUCACUGUCCCCUGAAAGAGGUAAGACAUGAAAAGCAGAUGAAAAGCCUGAGAAAAAACAUAGUUGGAGGAAGAGGUUGUUCCAAAGCUCUCACCAGAGAGUGUUGGUGGAGGUGAGGAAACUGAGGCAGAGAGAGGUAAUUUGUCCAGAGUCACAAAGCUAGAACCUAAGGCAGGAUUGGAACUCAGGUGCCAGCAAAUAUGUAAGUGCUUAAAAAGUGUUGCUCAUUGUGGAUUCCAACCCCAGCAUCUCACUACAAAGACUUCUAUGGCAUCAAAGCUGCAUGUUGGAGGGAACAAACUCAAAAGGGGGUCAUGAGGACCUGGGCUUAAUGUCAAGGUCUUCUUUACUCUUCAAUACCUAUCUUGGGCAAGUCCCUCCCACUCAUUCUGAGACUCAGUAUGUCUAUCUGUAAAACUCAAGGGUUACUCUAGAAUCUAGACCAUUUAGAUAUUUGUGUUAGCAAUUCUAGGAUCCUUGAACCUGAGGUUGCGAUAUCACAAGGGAAGGGAACAAAGUCCUGUGAAGGAACGAUGUCUUUUUCUAGCAGGGAGCCCCUGGAUCCCAUUGAAGACCUCAUCCCCCGCCUACCCCUCUUAGCCCCCCAGCCAUGAAACCGUUGGGGGUCAAAGGCUAAGAGUAGUUUUCCUUCUCAGUAUGUCCAUCAUUUCCUCUUAAGGUCCAGCCCUGGGAUCUCCUCCCCAUCACUGGGUCACUCCCUUCUCCUCCCCCUCCCUGGGGUUGGUGUGUGUCUGUGUGUGUGUAGUGGGGGUGGGGUUAGGGGACCUCUGAGGUUGCCAGACAGUU
RNAcentral lists this long non-coding RNA (1631 nucleotides) under Monodelphis domestica (gray short-tailed opossum). RNAcentral's name for it is "lncRNA (ENSMODG00000037299.1)". Lineage: Eukaryota; Metazoa; Chordata; Mammalia; Didelphimorphia; Didelphidae. The record is from RNAcentral.